RNAcentral lists this long non-coding RNA (384 nucleotides) under Lathyrus oleraceus (garden pea). Its description in RNAcentral is "Pisum sativum (pea) long non-coding RNA (PSAT_LNC017390)". The record is from RNAcentral. Lineage: Eukaryota; Viridiplantae; Streptophyta; Magnoliopsida; Fabales; Fabaceae.
GCCGCCUCCUCCACCAGAUCGCAACCACGGAAUCCCAAGGAUCGAUAACCUCAAGCUCACGAUCAACUUCCGACGCAACAAACCCUUCCGCCGUUGACGGUUUUCGGUGACUACCAGCGAUUGACGAAGCAGAGAAGUUCGUGGGAGCAAGAGAUUCAUAUCGAAGAGGAGCCGUCUGAAGAAUAAACGAGAAAGGUGAGAGUUUUGUUUUUUUGAUUUUUUUUAAGCCAUGGUUUGUUUGCGUUUAGAGAGAGAUCGAGAGAAUGGAGUGUGUUCUCUGUUUUAUCUUCACAAUGAAAAAGAGACAAUGUUUUUGUUAAAAAAGAAGGGAGAACGUGAAUGGCCAUCUUGGGAAACCGAUAGUCUUAAUUAAUUUUAAAAAAA